RNAcentral lists this ribosomal RNA (251 nucleotides) under uncultured prokaryote. RNAcentral describes it as "partial 16S ribosomal RNA". It matches the Rfam family "Bacterial small subunit ribosomal RNA", at positions 525 to 775 of the family's 1533-position model. The record is from RNAcentral.
ACGUAGGGUGCGAGCGUUAAUCGGAAUUACUGGGCGUAAAGCGUGCGCAGGCGGUCUUGCAAGACAGUGGUGAAAUCCCCGGGCUCAACCUGGGAACUGCCAUUGUGACUGCAAGGCUGGAGUACGGCAGAGGGGGAUGGAAUUCCGCGUGUAGCAGUGAAAUGCGUAGAUAUGCGGAGGAACACCGAUGGCGAAGGCAGUCCCCUGGGCCUGUACUGACGCUCAUGCACGAAAGCGUGGGGAGCAAACAG